UGCUGUAAGAACCAAGUUGGUUCCCUGACGUGGAAUUGCGAUGGAUUUUGGAUUUUACUACAACAACAAAAAACACACCAUCUCUUUAACUGGACGUUUUUGGAUUUUCCUGGAGAAAAAAACCCACCAUGUCUUUAAUUGGACGUCUUGGACUAUAGCUGACCUUUUCAAAGAAAAAGAAGAAGAUCUUCAAGCCUACAGAGAUGAAUUGUGGACACGUAGGCCUAAAGCUGGUAUGCCAGUAUGAUGUAGACUUGCUUGGAUGAUGUGCAGGCUCUGAUGGAGGAAGAUGAGGAGGAGAGGAUGAAGGACAGCCGAUAUGCCAAAAUAUGACCAGACUGGCUUGGAUGAUGUGCAGGCUCUGAUGGAGGGAGAUGAGGAGGAGAGGAUGAAGGACAACCGGUA
Engraulis encrasicolus (European anchovy) is the source of this 405-nucleotide long non-coding RNA. RefSeq lists it as uncharacterized. Lineage: Eukaryota; Metazoa; Chordata; Actinopteri; Clupeiformes; Engraulidae. The transcript has 3 exons. The record is from RefSeq and is a predicted model, not a curated record.